AUGACUGUAAUGAUUCCAAU
This 20-nucleotide microRNA is filed under the name Schistosoma mansoni. RNAcentral describes it as "sma-miR-8403-3p". The record is from miRBase by way of RNAcentral. Lineage: Eukaryota; Metazoa; Platyhelminthes; Trematoda; Strigeidida; Schistosomatidae.